This 1369-nucleotide ribosomal RNA is filed under the name uncultured bacterium. Its description in RNAcentral is "bacterial SSU rRNA". It matches the Rfam family "Bacterial small subunit ribosomal RNA", at positions 28 to 1381 of the family's 1533-position model. The record is from RNAcentral.
GACGAACGCUGGCGGCGUGCCUAAUACAUGCAAGUAGAACGCUGAAGAGAGGAGCUUGCUCUUCUUGGAUGAGUUGCGAACGGGUGAGUAACGCGUAGGUAACCUGCCUUGUAGCGGGGGAUAACUAUUGGAAACGAUAGCUAAUACCGCAUAACAAUGGAUGACACAUGUCAUUUAUUUGAAAGGGGCAAUUGCUCCACUACAAGAUGGACCUGCGUUGUAUUAGCUAGUAGGUGAGGUAACGGCUCACCUAGGCGACGAUACAUAGCCGACCUGAGAGGGUGAUCGGCCACACUGGGACUGAGACACGGCCCAGACUCCUACGGGAGGCAGCAGUAGGGAAUCUUCGGCAAUGGGGGCAACCCUGACCGAGCAACGCCGCGUGAGUGAAGAAGGUUUUCGGAUCGUAAAGCUCUGUUGUAAGUCAAGAACGAGUGUGAGAGUGGAAAGUUCACACUGUGACGGUAGCUUACCAGAAAGGGACGGCUAACUACGUGCCAGCAGCCGCGGUAAUACGUAGGUCCCGAGCGUUGUCCGGAUUUAUUGGGCGUAAAGCGAGCGCAGGCGGUUUGAUAAGUCUGAAGUUAAAGGCCGUGGCUCAACCAUAGUUCGCUUUGGAAACUGUCAAACUUGAGUGCAGAAGGGGAGAGUGGAAUUCCAUGUGUAGCGGUGAAAUGCGUAGAUAUAUGGAGGAACACCGGUGGCGAAAGCGGCUCUCUGGUCUGUAACUGACGCUGAGGCUCGAAAGCGUGGGGAGCGAACAGGAUUAGAUACCCUGGUAGUCCACGCCGUAAACGAUGAGUGCUAGGUAUUGGAUCCUUUCCGGGAUUCAGUGCCGCAGCUAACGCAUUAAGCACUCCGCCUGGGGAGUACGACCGCAAGGUUGAAACUCAAAGGAAUUGACGGGGGCCCGCACAAGCGGUGGAGCAUGUGGUUUAAUUCGAAGCAACGCGAAGAACCUUACCAGGUCUUGACAUCCCGAUGCUAUUUCUAGAGAUAGAAAGUUACUUCGGUACAUCGGUGACAGGUGGUGCAUGGUUGUCGUCAGCUCGUGUCGUGAGAUGUUGGGUUAAGUCCCGCAACGAGCGCAACCCCUAUUGUUAGUUGCCAUCAUUCAGUUGGGCACUCUAGCGAGACUGCCGGUAAUAAACCGGAGGAAGGUGGGGAUGACGUCAAAUCAUCAUGCCCCUUAUGACCUGGGCUACACACGUGCUACAAUGGUUGGUACAACGAGUUGCGAGUCGGCGACGGCAAGCUAAUCUCUUAAAGCCAAUCUCAGUUCGGAUUGUAGGCUGCAACUCGCCUACAUGAAGUCGGAAUCGCUAGUAAUCGCGGAUCAGCACGCCGCGGUGAAUACGUUCCCGGGCCU